Molecule: ribosomal RNA, 433 nt
Filed under: uncultured bacterium
Lineage: Bacteria
Description: partial 16S ribosomal RNA
Rfam family: Bacterial small subunit ribosomal RNA
Source: RNAcentral
AGCGAACGCUGGCGGCAGGCCUAACACAUGCAAGUCGAACGAACUCUUCGGAGUUAGUGGCGGACGGGUGAGUAACACGUGGGAACGUGCCUUUUGGUUCGGAAUAACUCAGGGAAACUUGUGCUAAUACCGAAUGUGCCCCUCGGGGGAAAGAUUUAUCGCCAUUAGAGCGGCCCGCGUCUGAUUAGCUAGUUGGUGAGGUAACGGCUCACCAAGGCGACGAUCAGUAGCUGGUCUGAGAGGACGACCAGCCACACUGGGACUGAGACACGGCCCAGACUCCUACGGGAGGUAGCAGUGGGGAAUCUUGCGCAAUGGGCGAAAGCCUGACGCAGCCAUGCCGCGUGAAUGAUGAAGGUCUUAGGAUUGUAAAAUUCUUUCACCGGGGACGAUAAUGACGGUACCCGGAGAAGAAGCCCCGGCUAACUUCGUG